UUCUUUUCUUCUGCUAGCUUUGGGGUUACUUUGUAUUUGUUUUUCUAGUUCCUCUAGCUGGGGUGCUAGUUCAUUAAUCUGAGCUCUUUCUAACUUCUUGAGAUAGAUGUUUAGCACUGUACACUUUCUUCUUGCCAGUGCUUUUGCUGUGUCCCAGAGAUUUUGGUAUGUUGUGUCUGUUUUCAUUUAUUUCAAAUAAUUUUUUGACCUUUGCCUUAAUUUCACUGUUUACCCGAAAGUCAUUCAGGAGAAAAUUGUUUAAUUUUCAUGUAACUGUGUGGUUUUAAGAAAUCUUCUUUAUAUUGAAUUAUAUUUUUACUUUACUGUGGUUCAAGAGUAUGGUUGAUAUGAUUUGGAUUUUUAAAAAUUUUUUGAGACUCACUUUAUGGCCAAACAUGUGGUAGAACUUGAAGUAUGUUCUAUGUACAGAAGAGAAGAAUGUAUAUUCUGUAGUUGAUGAGUGGGCUAUUCUGUAGAUAUCUAUUUGGUCCAGUAGUCAAGUGUCAAGUUUAAGCCCAGAGGUUUUUUGUUAGUUUUCUGCCUCAGUGAUCUAUAUGAUUCUGUCAGUUGGGUGUUGAAGUCCACCACUGUUUUUGUGUGGCUAAGUCUUUUUGUAGGUCUAGAAGUACUUGUUUUAUGAAUCUAGGUGCCCCAAUGUUGGGUGCAUAUAUAUUUAGGAUAGUUAAGUCUUCUUGUUGAAAUGAAAUCUUUAUCUUUAUGUAAUGCCCUUUUUGGUCUUUUUUUUUUUUGAUGUUGUUGGGUUAAAGUCUGUUUUAUUUGAUAUAACAAUAGUGACUCCUGUUCUUUUUUGUUUUCCUUUUGUGUGGUAGAUCUUUUGUGAACUCUUUACUUUGAACCUAUGGGUGUCAUUACAUGUGUCAUAAGUCCCUUGAAGACAGCACAUGGAUGACUCUUGUAUAUUUAUCUAACUUGCCAAUCUGUGACUUUUCAGUGGGACAUUUAGACCAUUUACAUUCAAGGUUAAUAUUGAUAAUAUGAGGUUUUGAUCCUACUGUGAAGUUGUUAGCUGGUUGCUUUGUAGUUUCUAUUGUGUGGUUGCUUCACAGGGUCUGUGGGCUAUGUACCCUAUGUAUUCUGUGUAUGUAUGUAUAUAUGUAUGUGCACUAUGAUCUCAGGGGAGCUGGCUGGAGCACCCAGCACAUACAGUACCAUGUCACCAAGCUGGUCCUGGCUGCAAGUCUUGCUACCCCAAAGAAACUGCAGCUGUGGCAGCUUUCCUCCAACUCCAGGCUUUUGGUGGGGGGCUGCACAAUUCCAUCUCCUUCUGCUGAGGUGCCUUCCACAGUUCUAGCUGCGAAGGCCCCUGAUGCACUCCAGAGCAGGUGUUUUGAUCUCUGACCCAAGACUAAAAUGCCUGCAUGGCCACACUACUGGGCCACCACAAGAAUGACUGACUUUGUAUGUACCUGGAUUAAAAUGGCAUCCUGCUGCUGGCCCCGGGGUCUGAGAAAAUAUCUGCAGCUUUUCCUGGUGUCUUUUCCUCACAGUGUCUCCAAACCUCUCCACAAGUUAGCUCCGGGACUUGGGAGUAACAAAGUGCUCUCCCUUGGCCUGGAUUGCUCAAAUCCCCAGUGGAAAGUGAGUCACAGAGGGAGGCUCUUUGCCUUUCUCAUGUACUGGGGCUUCACUUACUUUUAUCAGUUGGAUGGCAUCACAGGAUCUUUUUUGUUAGCAAUCGCCUUCCUGGGAUGUGGGGUCUCCUUUAUGAUUCCAGUGACUUCUGUCUUCUUGAAUUAAAGCUUACAAACUUGAUCUUUAUGUAGUAUUUUGCUAUUUCCAAGUGGCUGAGGUAUGCUAAAAGCGUCUAAUCCACCUUCUUUGGUGAUGUUCUCUCUCUCUUUUUGUUUACUUACCUUCAUUUUUUAAAAAGAAAACAUUCUUAGG
RNAcentral lists this long non-coding RNA (1905 nucleotides) under Homo sapiens (human). RNAcentral's name for it is "HSALNT0383348". Lineage: Eukaryota; Metazoa; Chordata; Mammalia; Primates; Hominidae. The record is from RNAcentral.